UACGUAGGUGGCAAGCGUUGUCCGGAUUUAUUGGGGUUAAAGGGUGCGUAGGCGGUCCUGUAAGUCAGUUGUGAAAUACGGCAGCUUAACUGUCGAGGUGCAAUUGAUACUGCGGGACUAGAGUACUGAUGAGGUAAGCGGAAUGGACGGUGUAGCGGUGAAAUGCUUAGAUAUCGUCCAGAACACCGAUAGCGAAGGCAGCUUACUAAGGAGUAACUGACGCUGAGGCACGAAAGUGUGGGGAUCAAACAGG
RNAcentral lists this ribosomal RNA (253 nucleotides) under uncultured bacterium. RNAcentral describes it as "partial 16S ribosomal RNA". It matches the Rfam family "Bacterial small subunit ribosomal RNA", at positions 524 to 776 of the family's 1533-position model. The record is from RNAcentral.